This 461-nucleotide ribosomal RNA is filed under the name uncultured bacterium. RNAcentral's name for it is "bacterial SSU rRNA". It matches the Rfam family "Bacterial small subunit ribosomal RNA", at positions 29 to 534 of the family's 1533-position model. The record is from RNAcentral.
AACGAACGCUGGCGGCAUGCCUAACACAUGCAAGUCGAACGAGACCUUCGGGUCUAGUGGCGCACGGGUGCGUAACACGUGGGAAUUUGCCUCGGGGUAUGGAAUAACUCAGGGAAACUUGAGCUAAUACCAUAUAAUGUCUUCGGACCAAAGAUUUAUCGCCCUGAGAUAAGCCCGCGUAGGAUUAGCUAGUUGGUGAGGUAAAGGCUCACCAAGGCGACGAUCCUUAGCUGGUCUGAGAGGAUGAUCAGCCACACUGGGACUGAGACACGGCCCAGACUCCUACGGGAGGCAGCAGUGGGGAAUAUUGGACAAUGGGGCGAAAGCCUGAUCCAGCAAUGCCGCGUGAGUGAUGAAGGCCUUAGGGUUGUAAAGCUCUUUUACCCGAGAUGAUAAUGACAGUAUCGGGAGAAUAAGCUCCGGCUAACUCCGUGCCAGCAGCCGCGGUAAUGUGACUACUG